Molecule: ribosomal RNA, 492 nt
Filed under: uncultured bacterium
Lineage: Bacteria
Description: bacterial SSU rRNA
Rfam family: Bacterial small subunit ribosomal RNA
Source: RNAcentral
CAGGAUGAACGCUGGCGGCGUGCCUAACACAUGCAAGUCGAACGGACUUAUUCUUGGAGGUUUCGGCCAAAGAGGUAUAAAGUUAGUGGCGGACUGGUGAGUAACGCGUGGAGAACCUGCCUCAUGCUGGGGGAUAACAGUGAGAAAUCACUGCUAAUACCGCAUAAGCGCACGAAGGCGCAUGCCUUUGUGUGAAAAAACUCCGGUGGCAUGAGAUGGCUCCGCGUUGGAUUAGCCAGUUGGCGGGGUAACGGCCCACCAAAGCAUCGAUCCAUAGCCGGCCUGAGAGGGUGAACGGCCACAUUGGGACUGAGACACGGCCCAGACUCCUACGGGAGGCAGCAGUGGGGAAUAUUGCACAAUGGGGGAAACCCUGAAUGCAGCGACGCCGCGUGAAGGAAGAAGUAUCUCGGUAUGUAAACUUCUAUCGACAGGGAAGAUAAUGACGGUACCUGAAUAAGAAGCCCCGGCUAACUACGUGCCAGCCGCGGC